CGUUGGAACUGAUAUUUCGCGACUUUUAUUUCAAACUAUUCCCUGCUUAUGUUGCUCAGUGUAGUCUAUAUAACUAUUCCCUGCUUAUGUUGCUCAGUGUUGGUCUGGGUAACGAUUGAGGGGCUGGAUAACCAUUGUUGGUCUGGAUAACUAUUGAGGGGCUGGAUGACCAUUGCAACGAAUAAUGUCGUUGAUGAAAGGACCGUUGAUGAAGCGACCGUUGAUUUCUCUAUUUAUAUAGAGGCAGCCUCAGAUCAUUUAUAAACAGUUCAAUAUCAGUUUUCCUGAGUGGAAACUGUGGGGCGCGGCUUGAAAUGUUUUUCUCUGUUUUGUAGGUCAGAUGUGGCGCUUCUGAAGUUUUGGGUCGGCAUGAGCUAGCUCUGGCCUUCCUGGCCGCUUCCCUAGAUUUUCUCGAAGGCCAUAUUGUGGUUUCAAUGGCGGCGAUUCUAGGGCACUCCAAUUGGGGUUUCCAUGGGCAACAUCAGAAUCGCCCUGGCAGCCAUCGGGAAGCUCAUGUUUGUCCAAUUCUAGGAGCUGGUGUGCCACUACUAUAAUGGUCUGCCUUGGAAUCGGUCUGUGUAAUAUAGGUGACCCUGUAAUGCUUUGGGUGAACAAGAUGGUACUAAGCAGUGUGGUGCGCAUGUUUAUCUUGGGCUUUUUUUCUGACUGUGACCUGGAUCUAGAUAUUUCCACUCUGCUGGUCGUUCCUUAUAAGAGUUAAGUCUUUGGAAAAAUAUUUCAAGUCCUACAAUUGACAAGUUAGAUAAGAAAUUUGGUGACAGUUGAUCGUAGGUGUUUUUAUAUGGUAUGAACUGUUGUUAUAUGUGCUGGUCUGCUCUCUCAGGUUUUCCCCUGUUUUAAUCAUUUUUGCUUAGCUCGUUUUAUGGUGCUAGGGCAUGGUACAUAGGUUCUAGAGGGUUGAUAUGGAUAGGUUAAUGUUUGUCGAUUUUCUGAGUUUUGUCUCAGCUGUGUUGAAAUCUUUGUACAUCUUUGGUCAGAUGCUUGAAGGUGCUAUAUUUCUAAACUAUUUCUAGUUCCUUUUUUUAAGUUGCAUUCUAUGAAAGGCAUCAAUUUAGAAAAGCCUGGUUUGGCAGAUUGAAAAGUCAUGUUAGAGAUGGACUUCGAAAAGCUGGACCUUCAGAUGUUUGGACAUUCAAAUGGAGCCGAAAAAGGCAUGUACUUUCCUACCAGGAGUAGUAAAGUUGGCCUCAAGUCAUCCCAUUUUUAUAGCGCUUGAUUUUGUAGCUAUCACUUUCUACUUCUUUUUUAUUUUAUUUUAUUUAUUUCCUGCGCUCUAUUCUGCUAUAUUUUGUAACUAGCCUCUUUUAUGUUGAAUUUUACUGAUCGUAUACCUUAAAAGUGAUGCAUUCUGGUUUGUUACCCUUUUUUAUUUAAUUUCAGAUAAUCUGUUAGGGCAAUAAUGAAUUACUAUGAAAUUGUUCAUGUUGGUGGCUGUUAGAUUUUAUGAAUUGUUUUCUGACUGCAUCUUGGAUAUAAAAUUGCUGACUUUGUAUAUUGUAUUGAGUAGUGUAAUAUAGGUGACUUUUGGUGAACAAGGUUGGUUCUUACAACAAUCCACAAGAAAACAUAUAAUUAUUACUCUGCUGUGGAAUCUGAAUACUGGUGUUUUGAGUCUUGAGACUCAUUUGAUUUGAAUUGUAUUUGAAAUUAUUGUACUUGUUUGUUUAAUUGUUAUAAUGGUAUGGAUUUGAAAUUGUUUGUUUAAUUGUUAUAAUGGUAUGGAUUUGAAAUUAUUGUAUUUUGCAAAUUUUAUUUACUCUGCUGAGUUUUAUUCUUUGGUUGAACAGAUUCUAUUGAUGGCUGUUAGAUUUAUAAGUUUAGAUUUUAUGAAUUUAUUAUGAAAUACCGUGCCAAGGGACUGAUUGAACCCCUGCCAUGGUGGACCAAAUGUUUAAAUGGUACCAGAUUGGUAGUGAAGGAUCGGCGUUACCAAUAAAUUACUAUGGUGUUGUUCAUAUUGAUCAAUAAAUUACUAUGGUGUUGUUCAU
Cryptomeria japonica (Japanese cedar) is the source of this 2009-nucleotide long non-coding RNA. RefSeq lists it as uncharacterized. The record is from RefSeq and is a predicted model, not a curated record. Lineage: Eukaryota; Viridiplantae; Streptophyta; Pinopsida; Cupressales; Cupressaceae. The transcript has 5 exons.